Molecule: ribosomal RNA, 773 nt
Filed under: uncultured Neocallimastigales
Lineage: Eukaryota; Fungi; Neocallimastigomycota; Neocallimastigomycetes; Neocallimastigales
Description: partial large subunit ribosomal RNA
Rfam family: Eukaryotic large subunit ribosomal RNA
Source: RNAcentral
AGAUGCGAGAGUAGAGCAUAUCAAUAAGCGGAGGAAAAGAAACUAACAAGGAUUCCCUUAGUGACGGCGAGUGAAGCGGGAAGAGCUCAAAUUUGAAAUCUUCAAGGUUUUACCUUGACGAAUUGUAGUUUAAAGAAGUGUUUUCUGUUGAAGUUUUGGUAAAAGUUCUUUGGAAUAGGACAUCAUAGAGGGUGAGAAUCCCGUAUUUGACCAUUAUUUUCAGCUGUGUGAUACACUUUCAAAGAGUCGGAUUGUUUGGGAAUGCAGUCCAAAAUGGGUGGUAAAUUUCAUCUAAAGCUAAAUAUUGGCGAGAGACCGAUAGCGAACAAGUACCGUGAGGGAAAGAUGAAAAGAACUUUGAAAAGAGAGUUAAACAGUACGUGAAAUUGUCAAAAGGGAAGCGUUUGACACCAGUGUUGUUUUCUCGAAAAUCAAUUAAAAAAGGCCGGAUUUUGUGUUGUAUUGACCUUAAAAGCUUUCUUCACUCUUUUCUUGUCUUUUUUAAUGCACUUUUCGUUUAACAAGUCAACAUCAGUUUCUUUUGUUGUAAAAGGGUCAUUGGAAGGUGGCUUUCUUUUCGGAGAAGGUGUUUAUAGCCUUUGAUCUCUGCAACCGGAGAGACUGAGGUCUGCAGCGUAGACUCUUCGGGGUUAAAUACAUUUGUGCUAAGCUAUAGCUUUUUAUAGACAACUUGUUGACUAUAUUUAGUCUUGUGGCUUACUCGCCUAUGCUAUUUUACCUACGCUUAGGAUGUUGACACACGCGCGUGCUCG